CUUCAUCUUCUUCAACCCAUCCCUUCUACUGAAAUCCACCGGUAGACCAUAACCAACAAAUUGAUCAAAAAUAAUAGAAUAGAACAUAUAACCAAAAAUUAAUAGACCAAAACCAACCCAUAAUUAUGUAAAUAUUUUGACAUCAAUUUAAGAAGCAAUCAACAAGUGGGUUUCUUCCAAAUAACUAAUCGUAGAAUUCCUUGAUUUCCUCAUUUAUCUAUCAAAUGAAGCGGCAAUUCGAUGGCGGAGAACCUAAUACUGCUAAUUUCGCCGGCGACCGUGAGCUGAUGAAGAUGAUGAAGCAAGUUAUAGAGUCCGAGGAAGAGAAGAAGCUGCCUAGUAAGAUUGAAGCGGCAAUUUGAUGAUGGAGAAACCAACUGCUCAACCUCUGCCGGAGAUGGUAAUUGUGGUGGUGAUGAAAACUUGUGUUUUCCCUGUCAUGGAAGGUGAAGAUGAGUGAAGAUGAAGAAGAUAAUUGGGCACAAUAUGAAAGAAGAAAGAUUGCAGAAAAUUUUUAGUUAACUCGAUUUUCUGGCCAAAAAGUUUCCGGUGAUGUAACUUCCUUCUCUAAUGGAGAAUAUAAUUGGGGCAGCACAGAAGAUGGAGGAAAUUGGAGAAGGUGGUGGGGUCCAUAUCGAAUUAUGAAGAGAAAAAAAACCUAAUUUUCAAGAUUUUCAUGCGCUUAGGUGUAGAUGUAACACAUAAAAUUUGCCCUAUCAGUAAAAAGAAUUUAAGAGAAUAUACUUCUACUAAGUAGAAAUGUUUGAUUAGUCAUAUAAUAAGUUAAAAUGUUCAACUGAAU
RNAcentral lists this long non-coding RNA (802 nucleotides) under Nicotiana benthamiana. RNAcentral describes it as "long non-coding RNA (NBEN_LNC004300)". Lineage: Eukaryota; Viridiplantae; Streptophyta; Magnoliopsida; Solanales; Solanaceae. The record is from RNAcentral.